AUAAACGACUCUCGGCAACGGAUAUCUCGGCUCACGCAUCGAUGAAGAACGUAGCAAAAUGCGAUACUUGGUGUGAAUUGCAGAAUCCCGUGNACCAUCGAGUUUUUGAAUGCAAGUUGCGCCCGAAGCCAUUCGGCCGAGGGCACGUCUGCCUGGGCGUCACG
RNAcentral lists this ribosomal RNA (164 nucleotides) under Cirsium monocephalum. Its description in RNAcentral is "5.8S ribosomal RNA". It matches the Rfam family "5.8S ribosomal RNA". Rfam says of the family: 5.8S ribosomal RNA (5.8S rRNA) is a component of the large subunit of the eukaryotic ribosome. It is transcribed by RNA polymerase I as part of the 45S precursor that also contains 18S and 28S rRNA. The record is from RNAcentral. Lineage: Eukaryota; Viridiplantae; Streptophyta; Magnoliopsida; Asterales; Asteraceae.